RNAcentral lists this ribosomal RNA (597 nucleotides) under Microbacterium sp. Ri3Ps_5352. Its description in RNAcentral is "bacterial SSU rRNA". It matches the Rfam family "Bacterial small subunit ribosomal RNA", at positions 412 to 1017 of the family's 1533-position model. Lineage: Bacteria; Bacillati; Actinomycetota; Actinomycetes; Micrococcales; Microbacteriaceae. The record is from RNAcentral.
CGGCCUAUCGGGUUGUAAACCUCUUUUAGCAAGGAAGAAGCGAAAGUGACGGUACUUGCAGAAAAAGCGCCGGCUAACUACGUGCCAGCAGCCGCGGUAAUACGUAGGGCGCAAGCGUUAUCCGGAAUUAUUGGGCGUAAAGAGCUCGUAGGCGGUUUGUCGCGUCUGCUGUGAAAACUGGAGGCUCAACCUCCAGCCUGCAGUGGGUACGGGCAGACUAGAGUGCGGUAGGGGAGAUUGGAAUUCCUGGUGUAGCGGUGGAAUGCGCAGAUAUCAGGAGGAACACCGAUGGCGAAGGCAGAUCUCUGGGCCGUAACUGACGCUGAGGAGCGAAAGGGUGGGGAGCAAACAGGCUUAGAUACCCUGGUAGUCCACCCCGUAAACGUUGGGAACUAGUUGUGGGGACCAUUCCACGGUUUCCGUGACGCAGCUAACGCAUUAAGUUCCCCGCCUGGGGAGUACGGCCGCAAGGCUAAAACUCAAAGGAAUUGACGGGGACCCGCACAAGCGGCGGAGCAUGCGGAUUAAUUCGAUGCAACGCGAAGAACCUUACCAAGGCUUGACAUAUACUAGAACGCUGCAGAAAUGUACAACUCU